Ostrinia furnacalis (Asian corn borer) is the source of this 455-nucleotide long non-coding RNA. RefSeq lists it as uncharacterized. The transcript is spliced from 2 exons. The record is from RefSeq and is a predicted model, not a curated record. Lineage: Eukaryota; Metazoa; Arthropoda; Insecta; Lepidoptera; Crambidae.
ACGAUAAUUUCUUGAUGAAUAAAUAAAAAUAACACACAUGAGAGAUUCCCUAAAUCGUAUUCGGAUGAGGGUAUUGGGAUGCUGAAAACUGCGAGUAAAGUUCAAAUUAGCGAGCAGUUUUCGUGAGUAUUUCUUUCCCAUUGCGGUUUUUUUCAUAACCUAAUGCCACGUUCCACAUGUGAUGCUGACACUGGUAUUUUUCGUUUCAGAUGCGGGAUUUCAUAUUUUACAUUUUGAUAUUUCAUAUUUUACGAUUUUACAUUUCAUAUUUUAGAUAUUUCAAUAUUUCAUAUUGAUUUCUGUAAUUAUUACUCCUUUCUGAACUGCUGAUCUCUUCGCAUUUCCUCCUUGUCAUCAAACCUCUGUCUCUGCAAGAGUUUGAGCGCUUACCUGUCAAAGAGAUGCAAGAGCUUCAUCUGGCACUGCGCGCUUGAGGCCGUGGAGGACGCUGCUUG